This 516-nucleotide ribosomal RNA is filed under the name Salmonella enterica. RNAcentral describes it as "bacterial SSU rRNA". It matches the Rfam family "Bacterial small subunit ribosomal RNA", at positions 1 to 508 of the family's 1533-position model. Lineage: Bacteria; Pseudomonadati; Pseudomonadota; Gammaproteobacteria; Enterobacterales; Enterobacteriaceae. The record is from RNAcentral.
AAAUUGAAGAGUUUGAUCAUGGCUCAGAUUGAACGCUGGCGGCAGGCCUAACACAUGCAAGUCGAACGGUAGCACAGAGAGCUUGCUCUCGGGUGACGAGUGGCGGACGGGUGAGUAAUGUCUGGGAAACUGCCUGAUGGAGGGGGAUAACUACUGGAAACGGUGGCUAAUACCGCAUAACGUCGCAAGACCAAAGAGGGGGACCUUCGGGCCUCUUGCCAUCAGAUGUGCCCAGAUGGGAUUAGCUUGUUGGUGAGGUAACGGCUCACCAAGGCGACGAUCCCUAGCUGGUCUGAGAGGAUGACCAGCCACACUGGAACUGAGACACGGUCCAGACUCCUACGGGAGGCAGCAGUGGGGAAUAUUGCACAAUGGGCGCAAGCCUGAUGCAGCCAUGCCGCGUGUAUGAAGAAGGCCUUCGGGUUGUAAAGUACUUUCAGCGGGGAGGAAGGUGUUGUGGUUAAUAACCACAGCAAUUGACGUUACCCGCAGAAGAAGCACCGGCUAACUCCGUGC